GAUGAACGCUGGCGGCGUGCCUAAUACAUGCAAGUCGAGCGAACAGACGAGGAGCUUGCUCCUCUGACGUUAGCGGCGGACGGGUGAGUAACACGUGGAUAACCUACCUAUAAGACUGGGAUAACUUCGGGAAACCGGAGCUAAUACCGGAUAAUAUAUUGAACCGCAUGGUUCAAUAGUGAAAGACGGUUUUGCUGUCACUUAUAGAUGGAUCCGCGCCGCAUUAGCUAGUUGGUAAGGUAACGGCUUACCAAGGCAACGAUGCGUAGCCGACCUGAGAGGGUGUCCGGCCACACUGAAACUGAGACACGGUCCAGCCUCCACGGGAGGCAGCAGUAGGGAAUCUUCCGCAAUGGGCGAAAGCUUGACGGAGCAACGCCGCGUGAGUGAUGAAGGUCUUCGGAUCGUAAAACUCUGUUAUUAGGGAAGAACAAAUGUGUAAGUAACUAUGCACGUCUUGACGGUACCUAAUCAGAAAGCCACGGCUAACUACGUG
RNAcentral lists this ribosomal RNA (496 nucleotides) under uncultured bacterium. Its description in RNAcentral is "partial 16S ribosomal RNA". It matches the Rfam family "Bacterial small subunit ribosomal RNA", at positions 28 to 507 of the family's 1533-position model. The record is from RNAcentral.